GUGACCUUCCCGGGCGUCCAGGGAAGCGGCGAGAGCUGCCACGCACGUGCCGCGGGACCCGCGCGCCGCCCAGGGAUGGCCCGCCGGGGUCGCUGGAGAAUCUCAGGGUCAUCGGCCUCCUUCCCCCAGUGCCUACCUGGAUAUGUGGUGCCUGUCAUAAGGUCCAGCGAGCUGCCUUCCACGAGACCAGCAGAAGAGUGGGCAAACGUGAAGUCCAGUCCUGCUGCCCAGGCUGCCAUUGACCUCACGGCGGGGGCUGCAGGUUCCUGCUUCUCCACGCCAAUGACAUGGUGAGAGAAUACAGGGGGAGCUGAAGACAAACAACAUAAACUUAUGUUUGCAAAGCACCUUUUACUCUGUGAAAUAAAGUGAGUGCAAGCAGUAAAUGGAACAACAAGCUUUCAGAGUCACUGCAGGGCAAGAGCUGGGGAAGGAAGAGCUGGCUGGUCAGGGAGGAUGCACUGGAGAGAAAAACCAUCACUCAAUUGGCUAGGACAUUCCAGGACAUCAGGGAGACCACACAACAGCCAGAGUGUCUCUUCUCCUCCAAAUGAACGCAACACCUCUCCAGCAAGGGCACAGAACUGGGCUGAGGCUGAGUAUUGCUGAGGCAAUACCGUUUAGAACAUAGGCACGGGUAAGGAUUUCAUGACAAAAACACCAAAAGCAAUUGCAACCAAAGCAAAAAUUGAUAAAUGGGAUCUAAUUGAACCUAAGAGCUUCUGCAUAGCAAAAGAAACUAUCAUCGGAGUGAACAGACAGCAUACAGAAUGGGAGAAAAUUUUUGCAAUCUGUCUGUCUGACAAAGGCCUAAUAUCCAGAAUCUAUAAGGAACUUAAACAAAUUUACAAGAAAAAAAACAACCCCAUUAAAAAGUAGGCAAAGAACAUAAACACACACUUCUCAAAAGAAGGCAUUCAUGUGGCCAACAAACAUAUGGAAAAAAAAAGCUUAACAUCACUGAUCUUUAGAGAAAGGCAAAUCAAAACCACAAUGAGAUAUCAUCUCAUGCCAGUCAGAAUGGCAAUUAUUAAGAAGUCCAGAAACAACAGAUACUGGCAAGGUUGCAGAGAAAAAGGAAAGCUUUUACACUGUCGAUGGGAAUGUAAAUUAGUUCAACCCUUGUGGAAGACAGUAUGGCAAUUCCUCAAAGAUCUAAAGGCAGGAAUAGCAUUUGACGCAGCAAUCCCAUUACUGGAUAUAUACCCAAAGGAAUAUAAAUCAUUCUGUUAUAAAUAUACAUGCACCUGUAUGUUUAUUGCAACACUAUUCACAAUAGCAAAGACAUGGAAUCAACCCAAAUGCCUAUGAAUGAUAAACUGGAUAAAGACAAUGUGGUACACAUACACCAUGGAAUACUAUGCAGCCAUAAAAGGGAAGGAGAUCAUGUCCUUUGUAGGGACACAGAUGGAGCUGGAAGCUGUUAUCUUCAGCAAACUAAUAGAGGAACAGAAAACAAAACAACACAUGUUCUCACUUAUAAGUGGGCGCUGAAUGAUGAGAUCACAUGGACACAUGGCAGGGAAGAAAACACACUGAGGCCUGUUGCGGGGAGGGCCUGAUGGGGGGAGGGAGAGCAUCAGGAAGAACAGAUAAUGGAUGCUGGGCUUAAUACCAAGGUGAUGGGUUGAUCUGUGCAGCAAACCACCAUGGCACACAUUUACCAAUGUAACAAAACUGCACAUCCUGCACAUGUACUCCAGAACUUAAAAUAAAAGUUGAAGGAAACAAAAACAAAAAUGAGGCCGGACGUGGGAGCUCACCCCUGUAAUCCCAGCACAUUAGGAGACCAAGGUGGAUUGUUCACGAGGUCAGGAGUUUGAGACCAGCCUGACCAACAUGGUGAAACCCCAUCUCUACUAAAAAUACAAAAAUUAGCCAAGUGCGGUGGGGGGCACCUGUAAUCCCAGCUACUCAGGAGGCUGAGGCAGGAGAAUCACUUGAACCUGGGAGGUGGAGGUUGCAGUGAGCCAAGAUGGCGCCAUUGCACUCCAGCCUGGGUGACAGAGCAAGACUUCAUCUCAAAACAAAACAAAAAACAAAAAUAAAAAACCCUUUAUAAAUAUUUGUUAAAUUGGUAGGAUUGUUAGCAUAAUUUACAAAAAUUUUAUUCACAUUAUACUAUAACAUAUCUAAAUAACAUUCGUGUUAACAAAUAUCAACGGUUCUUUGAUUUAAAAGUGGUGAAAAACAAGCUAAUCAUAAGUUUUAUAUACACCCAUAUAUUUUCCAAUAGCAUGACACUGUCCAGAUAUUUAGAAAUAGGCUAUCCGGAAAAGAAAGAACUUGCUGAACUCCAGAAAAUAUAAAGUAGAUACAAUUCAAGGUUUUUGAACCUUGGAAAAGGAAGGGUAAUUUUCUAUAAAUAAUUUUUUCACAACUGUGUUUCUUAUAUUCAUACCCGGGUAUCUUAAUUGGUGUAUUACCAAUUUGCUUCGCUAGAUAGAGAUAUGAGGCCCAAGAACUACAAAUUUCUUCAAAAAUGAAGCAUAGCUCUUGAUAUUUUGAAAAACAUAAUUUAUUUAUAGAAGAGAAACUACAGCCUGUAAGACAUCUUCUUAAGGGAGACGAUCUUCCAUGUAAUAAAUUGUUGGCCCCAGGGAGAAACGUUUGCUGGGAUUGAUGGUGAGUAGUUUACUAG
This 2641-nucleotide long non-coding RNA is filed under the name Homo sapiens (human). RNAcentral's name for it is "non-protein coding LINC00345:3". Lineage: Eukaryota; Metazoa; Chordata; Mammalia; Primates; Hominidae. The record is from RNAcentral.